AGGACGAACGCUGGCGGCGUGCCUAAUACAUGCAAGUCGAACGGUCUUUCUAUGGAAGCUUGCUUCCACUGAAAAGAUAGUGGCGAACGGGUGAGUAACAACGUGGGUAACCUGCCCAUAAGAGGGGGGAUAACAUCCGGAAACGGGUGCUAAUACCGCAUAGUUUUCUUGAUCGCAUGAUCGGGAAAGGAAAGACGGCCUUUGUGCUGUCGCUUAUGGAUGGACCCGCGGCGUAUUAGUUAGUUGGUGAGGUAACGGCUCACCAAGACGAUGAUACGUAGCCGACCUGAGAGGGUGAUCGGCCACAUUGGGACUGAGACACGGCCCAAACUCCUACGGGAGGCAGCAGUAGGGAAUCUUCCGCAAUGGACGAAAGUCUGACGGAGCAACGCCGCGUGAGUGAAAGAAGGUUUUCGGAUCGUAAAACUCUGUUGUCAGAGAAGAACAAGUUGGAGAGUAACUGCUCCAGCCUUGACGGUAUCUGACCAGAAAGCCACGGCUAACUACGUGCCAGCCGCCGC
Molecule: ribosomal RNA, 521 nt
Filed under: uncultured bacterium
Lineage: Bacteria
Description: bacterial SSU rRNA
Rfam family: Bacterial small subunit ribosomal RNA
Source: RNAcentral